GUCUUAAUAGUUUAAUAAUAAAACCUUGGUUUUGUAAAUCAAAAAUAAAAAAAAAUUUUUUUAAGACU
This 68-nucleotide transfer RNA is filed under the name Panorpa communis. RNAcentral's name for it is "tRNA-Thr". It matches the Rfam family "tRNA". Rfam says of the family: Transfer RNA (tRNA) molecules are approximately 80 nucleotides in length. Lineage: Eukaryota; Metazoa; Arthropoda; Insecta; Mecoptera; Panorpidae. The record is from RNAcentral.